Amphiprion ocellaris (clown anemonefish) is the source of this 7004-nucleotide RNA transcript. RefSeq lists it as uncharacterized. The record is from RefSeq and is a predicted model, not a curated record. Lineage: Eukaryota; Metazoa; Chordata; Actinopteri; Pomacentridae. The transcript is spliced from 21 exons.
UCAGCUCCGUUUCACAGAUUUUUCAACCUUCGUCAAAAAUCUCCACCGAACCAGCGACACUUUCGGGCUGUAAUUCAACUUAAAACGAAUUUCUGUGCACAGAAUGUUCUGGAAUCCGGUUAAAGUGGAAGAAAAGACGUGGUUUCUGUGAAAGUUUCGCUAAAUUUACGGCUUCCGGCGGGAAAUUUGAUGGUUAAAGUUGACGUCGGUGUAACGAGGAUUAGUGUUGACCGACCGAACAUGUGCUGAGAUGCCUUCCUACAGCUUUCUGGAUAACUUGGAGCUUUUUAUCCGGACAGGAAAGUUUCCUGGAAAUGCUUCAACAAGCUCAAAGAAAGUGACCAAAGCUGCCAGCAAACACUUCCUCUACAAAGAUGGCUCUCUGUGGCGAACUUAUCGAGGCCGCCUCCUCCGUGUCGUCAGGAGCGACGAGGAGGUUCGGGACAUCCUGCUGCGUUACCAUGACAACAACAACCACGCUGGCCGAGUUCGGAUGGUGAAGGAGAUCAUGCUCUUGUAUUAUUGGGUCGGAGUGACGGAGGCCGUGAAGAAGUGGAUCAAAGCCUGCACCGUCUGUCAGAACCGACCUCGCCCCGAACCUCUGGACCCGCCCGUCCACUUCUGCCUGGUUUACGGCUGCGAUGCCUCCAGUUACGUUCACCCCGAGCUCAGCUUCCACAGGUUUCCAAAGGAGGCGGAGAGGCGGCGGACGUGGCUGGCGGUGGCUCAGAGGGACGAAGGUUCGCUCAGAUCAAACUCCUACAUCUGCUCACGACACUUUGACUCAUCCUGCUUCAACCUGAGCGACGAAGGUCAACGGAUGCUGUCAUCAGACGCUGUACCGACCAUCGUACCGCAAACUACUAAAGAGGACGAGGUGGUUGUCCCUUCAGAGGAUGAAUUUCUUCCCUCCAACACCCUGGAAGACCUUCUGUCGAUAGCUGCUGCUGCAGAAACCCCAGAAUCCUCUGGUCCGGCCUUAGAAGCCCCAGUGGGGCUGCAGGAACACCAGUACUGCCUCCCAGCUCCUGAUCCAGACUCCAUGGAGGUCCAGACGGUGAGGGACCUCAAGAAGAGGAAGACCAUCGUGGAGCCAAGCUUCUCCACUUACAACCAUAUUGCCAGGUAUCUGAGCCACCGAGUCUUACCUCUGCAGAGCAAGAGAAGCAGAGGGGCUUUAAAACGGAUGUCCAAGCGCUUCGGCCUGAUAGACGGAGAGCUGAUGUACACCAGAGUAUCUCCACCUGUCAGAGUCCCACGCAGCAGAGAGGAGGUAAACUCCAUCCUGCAGCAGUUCCAUGAUAACCAGGGUCACUACGGUCAGGGAAUCUGCCAGCGAGAGAUCUCCAAACACUUCUACUGGGCCAGCAUGAGCUGCGACUUAUCCACCUGGAUCUCCAGCUGCAACACCUGCCUCACCAGGAGCAAGAGAAAGUGGCUUCGCUGCAGCGUCAUCAGCUGCAGCAACUGCUGCGGGCCGGUGGAGCGAGGCCUUGGACUCACCUUCCACAGGUUUCCUCUCCAUGACGCCGCCCUGCUGGCUCGCUGGCUGAAGGCCGUCGGACGUUCUAACUGGCUUCCUCGGCUGCGGUCGUCCGUCUGUUCCACUCAUUUCACUGAGGACUGCUUGGACCGGCGUGGGGAGAAGGUGGUCCUCCGUCCAGAUGCUGUUCCUACCCUCAUGGUCCACGGAGACUCGAUGACAUCCAGAGGUCAGAACCAGCCUGCAGGACAGGAGGAGGCCUUCUUUGCCAAAUACGACGCCGUGGAGCUUUACCUGAGCAGACGCACCUAUCCGCCCGGACUGAGCUACGUGGAGAAGAACACCUUCAGGAGGUUCUGCAAGAAAUUCACCAUGAAAGACGACAAGCUUCACUCCACCAGAGGAGAUCGACUGCGUUUGGUUCUGAGGAGUCGGCAGCAGGUUGAAGCCGCUCUGACCGAUUACCAUGACGAGCUCAAUCACCUGGACGUCAACAAAUGUCUGCGGCUGCUCAACGAGAGGUAUUUCUGGAAAACCAUGAAAUCGGAUGUGAUCCAGUGGAUCGACGGCUGCUUCCAGUGCAGCAGGAAGAAGAACCCGGAGACGCUGCUGCACGCGCUCAGAUCUCCUCCAAUCAGCAGCGUCAAAGACGACCAGACCGAUGAUGCUGAUGAAGGAGAGAACAGUGAAGGAGACAGCGAACGGCUGAAUUCAGACACAGAGGAUGGACCUUCAACCCCCAUCAGCCCUCAGACCAGGAUCCCCAUCCUCCUCCACCUGAGAACUCCCAUCAGCCUCCAGUCCAGGACUCCCAGCGCCCCCCUUGUUUCCAGACCAUUGUCUGUCCAGAGCAGGUCUGAGAGCCACGUUCAGGUCCAGGAUCCAGAAGAAGACCAGAGAGAAUGCAGCAGCUCUCAGUGUGUCCGACCUGCUGCAGAUCCUCCUCCAGAGAAAACUCACCGUCCAGGUGAACCACAGGCUCAGAUCCCAGCACAGAACCGGUCCAGAGUUCAGCACCCAGCAGAGACCAGGAGAACCAGUGGUCUGGAGCCCGUCGUGGCCCCGAGUAACAAACCCUGGCCGGUCUUCACCAUCGCUGGUAAAACCCUGGCAAAGACAGGAAGACCAGGUGCUGAGGUGGACAGCUCGUCGGCGUUCCGGAGCUGCAGCAGGCUUCAGGCUCGGACCGUCAUCCAGCAGUGCAGCUCGGCCAAGGUGAAGAUCCGACCAGCUCUGGAUGGAGGAGACGCUCAGUGGGCCGAGAUCCAGGAGGGAAUCGUUGUCUACGUUUGUUUUUUCCACGGAGCCACUGAAAAUGUCACAUAUCAGAUGGCCAACAGUCUGAUGAACACCAAGUUCUUCCGGAGGGACCGUGGACACUCGGUGUCGCUGCUCGACCUCCCCGGCAGCGUUCUGUUGGUCCCCCAGGACUCGCUGCUGGCCGAGCCGCCGGUCCGGAGGAGGAUCCGGUUCAGAGGCGGCUGUGAGCUCUGGAGAGCCGCUCAGCUGCUGUCCGGCCUGGCGUCGGCCUGCAGGGAGCUCAUGGCAGCCUCCAACAAAUGCACCGAGGCGGGAGUGAAGGUGGAGCAAGGCGUCUACGGACAGAAACAGGAGAUGGUCCUAAAGGCCGAGGAGCCGCUGACGCUGCUGCUGGACUUCUGAGCUUCAGCAGCUUCUGGAGAACAAACGGGAGCUUGUCGGGUUCCAGCUUUCAGACAGCAGCAGAUGGAGAUGAUCAGAGUCCUGAGCAGCAGUGGACUGAGAUCACCCAAUCACAGAAGAAAAUCUUUAUUUUGUUCAGCCAAUAGGAAACUAGCACCACUUCUAACCUCUGAUUGGAUGGGCAGACUGCAGUCAACCUCUCAGAGCUUCCAAUGGUAGUAAAAGUGCAAAGAGAAAUCCCAGGAGCUGCUGUUCCUCCUGUACUGAUGGAACGCGAGUCUAAGCCAGCUGAGCGAACAUCUGAACCACUGCUGGACCUUCAGGCUCUUCUGAACAUCUGAACCACUGCUGGACCUUCAGGCUCUUCUUCUGAACAUCUGAACCACUGCUGGACCUUCAGGCUCUUCUUCUGAACAUCUGAACCACUGCUGGACCUUCAGGCUCUUCUGAACAUCUGAACCACUGCUGGACCUUCAGGCUCUUCUUCUGAACAUCUGAACCACUGCUGGACCUUCAGGCUCUUCUUCUGAACAUCUGAACCACUGCUGGACCUUCAGGCUCUUCUUCUGAACAACUGAACCACUGCUGGACCUUCAGGCUCUUCUUCUGAACAUCUGAACCACUGCUGGACCUUCAGGCUCUUCUUCUGAACAUCUGAACCACUGCUGGACCUUCAGGCUCUUCUUCUGAACAUCUGAACCACUGCUGGACCUUCAGGCUCUUCUUCUGAACAUCUGAACCACUGCUGGACCUUCAGGCUCUUCUUCUGAACAUCUGAACCACUGCUGGACCUUCAGGCUCUUCUUCUGAACAUCUGAACCACUGCUGGACCUUCAGGCUCUUCUGAACAUCUGAACCACUGCUGGACCUUCAGGCUCUUCUUCUGAACAUCUGAACCACUGCUGGACCUUCAGGCUCUUCUGAACAACUGAACCACUGCUGGACCUUCAGGCUCUUCUUCUGAACAUCUGAACCACUGCUGGACCUUCAGGCUCUUCUUCUGAACAACUGAACCACUGCUGGACCUUCAGGCUCUUCUUCUGAACAACUGAACCACUGCUGGACCUUCAGGCUCUUCUUCUGAACAUCUGAACCACUGCUGGACCUUCAGGCUCUUCUGAACAACUGAACCACUGCUGGACCUUCAGGCUCUUCUUCUGAACAUCUGAACCACUGCUGGACCUUCAGGCUCUUCUUCUGAACAUCUGAACCACUGCUGGACCUUCAGGCUCUUCUUCUGAACAUCUGAACCACUGCUGGACCUUCAGGCUCUUCUUCUGAACAUCUGAACCACUGCUGGACCUUCAGGCUCUUCUUCUGAACAUCUGAACCACUGCUGGACCUUCAGGCUCUUCUUCUGAACAUCUGAACCACUGCUGGACCUUCAGGCUCUUCUGAACAACUGAACCACUGCUGGACCUUCAGGCUCUUCUUCCCAGCACGCCAUCCAACACCUCCUUCCUUCUAACCUUCCAGUCCCUGCAGGGACCAACAGUUUCUCUGAUUCUUCUCGUCUUGGUGUCUCGUGGCUUCUGUUCCCGAGUCAAGGACCCGUCUUCUUCGUGCUCCUAGAAGCAGACUUGUUUUCCCAGCUGCUGUCGGCCACCUCAGUCUCCUUCCCAGACACAGUCGCAUUCUUUCAGAGGGUUUCUCUGUCGCAUGGCGGUGAUGACGGUGAUCCUGUUCUCGGAAAGCUGUCGAAGCUCGUCAAUCAGCUCCCGGACGCAGGGACUGGGCCACGGGUGACCGUUGAGGUAGUCUCUGAGGAUGAAAGAUCGCUCCACCAGCAGCUCCAGCUGCACCAGGUGUCGCAGUCGGUGGAGGCUCAGCAGGUCCUUCUCUGGUUCCCGGCGGAAAAAUCUGGGAGACAAGGCAGAGCAGACUUUAAUAGUGGGAAACCAGCGUGAAACAUCGGUGCAGUUCACAUGAAAAGAAGAACUCUAAAAGUCUGUGAACUGCUGUCAUGGCCCAUAAACACACAUGGACUUCACCUGGACUGUAGAAGUAUCUUUGGAGCUCCAAGCAGCUUCCACAAGAUGUGAUUCCAACAGGAAUCCUUUUAAUGCUUCUGACUGACUGAAGCUCUUUUUACAAACUGCAUUCUCAUCCUUGGACACAGAUUUUCCAAAGGUUGAUGGUUUUCCUCACAGUCUGAGAUUCAGCAUCAGGGCAACACCUGGAACAUCUAUGUCCAGGAGAAGUCUCAACUGGAUUCUCUAUUAUUUGCCAGAUUUUCUCUUUUAUAAAUAAAUCAUUUGAGGAAAUGACUAUGAGAUGAUGAGGUCGACCGGUUCAUGCAGUUUACUGUGAGAUGCUGGAUUCUUUACCGUAUCCGUAGAGUCCUGAGUUCUGGGAACAGCAUGGGGAUCCGUCUGCAGAGGCUGCCGCUGGACCGGUUCUGUUCAAUGUCCAGGUGCUCCAGUCCUGGGACUUUGGGUGCGAUGGAGUCCAUGUCCUUGAGCGUUAUGGCGACUCGCAGCGUCAGCCUGGUCACGCUGGAUGGGAUGGUGGUGGUGUAGGUCGCCAGAGAGUUUCCACCUGAUGGGAGAAAGAACAAGAAGCUGGUUUAGAUCUGAAGCUUUUAGAUCAUCGAUAAAUAAAAUCCUAUGAAGUCCUUCUAGCUGUGUCACAGAAGAUGUUCCUAAGUUCUCUCUGGAGUUGCAGGACUUCAGACUCCUGAACUCACCGAUGAUGGUGAGCAUCUCCAGCUGCUUCAGAGGACUCAGCCACGACCGAAGGCGACAGGUGAUGCCUUCUCUGAUGUACCUGUACCGGACCGUCAGCGAGCGCAGCGACGUCAGACUCCUCAGAGCAUUCUCUGGCAGGAUGGUUUCUGGGUAAUCCACCAGCUCCAGACUGGUCAGGGCCGGGCCGCCGUACCAGUCCGGUCCUACUGUACCAAAGAGUCUGGUUAGGGCAGUGUUUCUCAAAUAGUGGGGCGCGCCCCCCUGGGGGGGCACAGAGGCAUGUCAGGGGGGGCGCAGGAGACCGGGAGGAAAAGGUUCUUCAACACGGAACUAAUGAGCUGAACUAUUGUUUUAACGUCAGCCUGUUUUUCGUGGCGUACAACAAUACUGAAAUUGUGCUGGCCUAUAGACUGUAUAUGCCAUAGAUAUAAAAAAAAUAUUAAUAACAAUGAUCUUCUGUAUAUAUCUAUGGUAUAUGCACUGGCCGUUCAGACCCCGAAGUACAGACUCCAGAGAACGGGAGAACGCAUCGUUAAUGUGCAGUCGGAACACCAGCGUACUUGAUCACGUCACGUACUCUGCUCAUCUCCUCUGAUUAUUUUUACUAGCAAUGUCAAACAUACAGCCUGUGGGCCAAAACCGGCCCACCAGACGACUUUACAAAUGAUAAAACUUACAACAACAUUAACUGUAAAUUGCAAAUUUGUAAAACUGUAAAUUUAAAAUAAUUUCUAGAACUUGACAAGUUGUUCUGAUCAUGAAGUAAAAUACUAGAUUGUUCAGUUCCAGAUACCUGUGACUGAAUGUUUUGUGUUUUUGUAGAUAAACUGUUAUCUGGCAGUUACAAUGCAUGUGUAAAUGAUGAACUGAGGCAUAAUAGGCUACUGUUGAAACUGAACUUGUUUUCCUUAAGAAAUUUCAGGUUCAUAAUAUUUUGUAAAAAGAUAGUUCAUUAAAUGUGAACAUUUUCAGAAUGUACUUUUUUUUUAACUAAAACAAAGGGGAAGAGUUGGAGUUGUGGUUAUUUAUAGGUUAUUAUGCUGUGAUUUUACUGGUGGGGCCCACUGGAGAUCAGAUUGGAUUUAUGUGGUCCCUGGACUAAAAUGAGACCCCUGAUCUUUACUGUGAAAAACAACAAAAUGGAAUCAGAUAAAAUAACACAGCCCUGCAUA